AAUCAACGCUGGCGGCGUGCCUCAGACAUGCAAGUCGAACGCGAAAGUCCCCUUCGGGGGACAAGUAGAGUGGCGCACGGGUGAGUAACACGUAGGUAAUCCACCUUCGGAUGGGGAAUAACAACCGGAAACGGUUGCUAACACCGCAUAAUGCAGCGGCACCUAAUGGUGACAGUUGUUAAAGCGGGGGAUCGAAAGACCUCGCGUCUGAAGAGGAGCCUGCGGCGGAUUAGCAGUUGGUAAGGUAACGGCUUACCAAGGCGACGAUCCGUAGCCGGCCUGAGAGGGGCGGUCGGCCACACUGACACUGACAUACGGGUCAGACUCCUACGGGAGGCAGCAGUCGGGAAUUUUGCGCAAUGGGCGAAAGCCUGACGCAGCAACGCCGCGUGGAGGAUGAAGGCC
RNAcentral lists this ribosomal RNA (405 nucleotides) under uncultured bacterium. Its description in RNAcentral is "bacterial SSU rRNA". It matches the Rfam family "Bacterial small subunit ribosomal RNA", at positions 32 to 416 of the family's 1533-position model. The record is from RNAcentral.